GGAGUUUGGGCCGUGUCUCAGUCCCAAUGUGGCCGGUCACCCUCUCAGGUCGGCUAUGGAUCGUCGGUUUGGUGGGCCGUUACCCCGCCAACUGCCUAAUCCAACGCGGGGCCAUCCCAUACCACCGGAGUUUUUACCCCUGCACCAUGCGGUGCUGUGGUCUUAUGCGGUAUUAACAGUCGUUUCCAACUGUUAUCCCCCUGUACAGGGCAGGUUACCCACGCGUUACUCACCCGUCCGCCACUCGGAAUACCGAUUCCAUCCGAAAACUUCAUCAGUAUUCCUCGUUCGACUUGCAUGUGUUAAGCACGCCGCCAGCGUUCAUC
Molecule: ribosomal RNA, 326 nt
Filed under: uncultured Moryella sp.
Lineage: Bacteria; Bacillati; Bacillota; Clostridia; Lachnospirales; Lachnospiraceae
Description: partial 16S ribosomal RNA
Source: RNAcentral